GACGAACGCUGGCGGCGUGCUUAACACAUGCAAGUCGAACGGAAAGGCCCUGCUUUUGUGGGGUGCUCGAGUGGCGAACGGGUGAGUAACACGUGAGUAACCUGCCCUUGACUUUGGGAUAACUUCAGGAAACUGGGGCUAAUACCGGAUAGGAGCUCCUGCUGCAUGGUGGGGGUUGGAAAGUUUCGGCGGUUGGGGAUGGACUCGCGGCUUAUCAGCUUGUUGGUGGGGUAGUGGCUUACCAAGGCUUUGACGGGAAGCUGGCCUGAGAGGGUGACCGGCCACAUUGGGACUGAGAUACGGCCCAGACUCCUACGGGAGGCAGCAGUGGGGAAUAUUGCACAAUGGGCGGAAGCCUGAUGCAGCAACGCCGCGUGCGGGAUGACGGCCUUCGGGUUGUAAACCGCUUUCGCCUGUGACGAAGCGUGAGUGACGGUAAUGGGUAAAGAAGCACCGGCUAACUACGUG
RNAcentral lists this ribosomal RNA (468 nucleotides) under uncultured bacterium. Its description in RNAcentral is "partial 16S ribosomal RNA". It matches the Rfam family "Bacterial small subunit ribosomal RNA", at positions 28 to 507 of the family's 1533-position model. The record is from RNAcentral.